Molecule: long non-coding RNA, 754 nt
Organism: Polyodon spathula (Mississippi paddlefish)
Lineage: Eukaryota; Metazoa; Chordata; Actinopteri; Acipenseriformes; Polyodontidae
Exons: 2
Source: RefSeq, a predicted model, not a curated record
CCAGCGUUCCGUAAGAGCCUAUGCGGUCACUGAACCUAUCCAAGGAUUAAAGAAUUAGUCAGCUCCAGGUCUCAGAUUCAGCCUGGCUCUCCAGGAUGCAAAUGACUUCCCAGUUUCCUAACGUUCAUGUCAUAUCCAAAGCUGAACUCAUUUCUACUAAAGAUUUUACACGUACGGACAUCCUGGUUGAAAACAGCUUCACAAUUACACCAUUUCUAUUCUCUAAAUACAUUUUUUAGUUGUUGGUUGAUGGCAACAGAUCUUUGCCAUUGCCCUUUGCUCCUGGGUCAUGGAUUGCACUGUAGAUUAUUUCAUUAUAUUGCCAAAAUUAGCUGUAUUCACUGUGUAGGAUUUACAAGUGAGUAGUUAAAAGACAAAGAAGACGGAUCCAUCACUCCAUAUGUUUCUCACAUAUUCCACGUUGGAAUAAACUAUAUGGAAACUAACAAAGAGGGAGAGACAGUAAUGUUUUAGCAGAAGAGGAAUGGCAGAGUAUUUGCUGGUGCGAAGGAGCAUUAUCUAGAUUAAGACUUCAGAAAUCCCUUUGCCUUUCCCGAAGGGGAGUGGAGCUGUGAACCGAACCAGGAGCUGAAUUAUGGAAGUGCAUUGGUAAAAUACUCAUGAUCCCAAUUCAGAGACACUGGAACCAAGAAUAAUAAAAAAAAGACUAUAAUAAAGUCAUUGGGAAAAUGACAGGUUACAGGGCUGUGUGAUUUGGAAAAUGAUUGCUAUUAAAUUGACUUUUGUUCCCCUG